This 253-nucleotide ribosomal RNA is filed under the name uncultured bacterium. RNAcentral's name for it is "partial 16S ribosomal RNA". It matches the Rfam family "Bacterial small subunit ribosomal RNA", at positions 524 to 776 of the family's 1533-position model. The record is from RNAcentral.
UACGUAGGGCGCAAGCGUUGUCCGGAAUUAUUGGGCGUAAAGAGCUCGUAGGCGGUUUGUCGCGUCUGUCGUGAAAGCCCACGGCUUAACUGUGGGUCUGCGGUGGAUACGGGCAGACUAGAGGCAGGCAGGGGAGAAUGGAAUUCCCGGUGUAGCGGUGAAAUGCGCAGAUAUCGGGAGGAACACCGGUGGCGAAGGCGGUUCUCUGGGCCUGUACUGACGCUGAGGAGCGAAAGCGUGGGGAGCGAACAGG